RNA transcript from Juglans regia (Persian walnut), 742 nucleotides. It is a transcript of the gene named protein NUCLEAR FUSION DEFECTIVE 6, mitochondrial-like, with no coding region annotated. NCBI's taxonomy places the organism in Eukaryota, Viridiplantae, Streptophyta, Magnoliopsida, Fagales, Juglandaceae. The record is from RefSeq and is a predicted model, not a curated record. The transcript is spliced from 4 exons.
CCUUUCUCAAACCUCGUAGUCGUAGGAGAGAUCUUACGUCUAAAACCCCGAACGAAACGCAAAACCCUCGUGACAAAACGAAGCCCCUCCUCAUACUCACUGGCCAACCCAAAACCCAAAGUCAUGUCAUUCGCCGCCGCCAGGUCCGUCCUCCGCUCCACAUCGGCACGAACCGCCUCGGCGGCGAGGCUUACUGCCGGAGCCGGAGCUAGGGCCAGACCCGCAAGUUCACCAUUUCGUAUCCCCAAACAAAACCCUAUCGCACAUCGCAUUUUCAGGUCUCCUGUGGAGAUGAGCUGCUGUGUGGAAACGCUGCUUCCGUAUCACACUGCCACUGCUUCCGCAUUGCUCAACUCCAUGCUCUCCGCCUCUCUUCGCAGCUACUGUUGGACUCCUGAAGCUUGCAAUGAUGAUGUGUGAUGAAUGGCAGAAGAUUCGAGCAAAGUUUUAUGUACAUGCACUCUAAGACAAGAUGGAUGAUUGUUGUUGGGGUGCCGUAUCUUGAUCAUAAUUUCCAUGGAUUUCAAUGGACUUUGUAAGACUUGCUUGAGGCAUUAUUCUCAAUGAUCGGAUAUGAAAGUCAAAAGAUUAAUAGUCGUUCUACAGGCACUGAAGAAGUAGGUAUCAUAAUGAGACUAGAUUGUUCUUAUCUUUUCAAAUAUUGCAUACGGUGCUAGAUCAACUCUCUUGUACGAGUUAUGGAUGAUUAUCUCUUCAAGAAAUGUUUGCAUUACUUCACGUA